RNAcentral lists this ribosomal RNA (524 nucleotides) under uncultured eubacterium WR111. RNAcentral's name for it is "bacterial SSU rRNA". It matches the Rfam family "Bacterial small subunit ribosomal RNA", at positions 9 to 527 of the family's 1533-position model. The record is from RNAcentral.
GAGUUUGAUCAUGGCUCAGAUUGAACGCUGGCGGCGUGCCUAACACAUGCAAGUCGAGCGGUAACAGGUGUAGCAAUACAUGCUGACGAGCGGCGAACGGGUGAGUAAUGCUUCGGAAUCUACCCUCUAGUGGGGAAUAACCAGCCGAAAGGUUGGCUAAUACCGCAUACGUCCUACGGGAGAAAGCAGGGGAUCGUAAGACCUUGCGCUGAUGGAUGAGCCGAAGUCGGAUUAGCUAGUUGGUGAGGUAACGGCUCACCAAGGCGACGAUCCGUAGCUGGUCUGAGAGGACGACCAGCCACACUGGAACUGAGACACGGUCCAGACUCCUACGGGAGGCAGCAGUGGGGAAUAUUGGACAAUGGGGGAAACCCUGAUCCAGCGACGCCGCGUGUGUGAAGAAGGCCUGCGGGUUGUAAGCACUUUUAGUGGGGAUGAAAUGUGCAGGGCUAAUAUCUCUGCAUUUUGACCUAACCCACAGAAAAAGCACCGGCUAACUCUGUGCCAGCAGCCGCGGUAAUACG